RNAcentral lists this ribosomal RNA (229 nucleotides) under uncultured bacterium. RNAcentral describes it as "partial 16S ribosomal RNA". It matches the Rfam family "Bacterial small subunit ribosomal RNA", at positions 568 to 796 of the family's 1533-position model. The record is from RNAcentral.
CACGUAGGCGGCUUUGCAAGUGGGUGUUGAAAGCCCCCGGCCCAACCGGGGAAUUGGCAUCCAAACUGCAGGGCUUGAGUGUCGGAGAGGUGAGUAGAAUUCCUGGUGGAGCGGUGAAAUGCGUAGAUAUCAGGAGGAAUGCCAGAGGCGAAAGCGACUCACUGGCCGAACACUGACGCUGAGUUGCGAAAGCUAGGGUAGCGAACAGGAUUAGAUACCCUGGUAGUCC